Molecule: ribosomal RNA, 162 nt
Filed under: uncultured bacterium
Lineage: Bacteria
Description: partial 16S rRNA
Rfam family: Bacterial small subunit ribosomal RNA
Source: RNAcentral
UAGGGAAUCUUCCACAAUGGGCGAAAGCCUGAUGGAGCAACGCCGCGUGUGAUGAAGGGUUUCGGCUCGUAAAACACUGUUGUAAGAGAAGAAUGACAUUGAGAGUAACUGUUCAAUGUGUGACGGUAUCUUACCAGAAAGGAACGGCUAAAUACGUGCUAG